ACUUUGCUGACGAGCGGCGGACGGGUGAGUAAUGCUUGGGAAUAUGCCUUUUGGUGGGGGACAACAGUUGGAAACGACUGCUAAUACCGCAUAAUGUCUACGGACCAAAGUGGGGGACCUUCGGGCCUCACGCCAAAAGAUUAGCCCAAGUGGGAUUAGCUAGUUGGUAAGGUAAUGGCUUACCAAGGCAACGAUCCCUAGCUGGUUUGAGAGGAUGAUCAGCCACACUGGGACUGAGACACGGCCCAGACUNCUACGGGAGGCAGCAGUGGGGAAUAUUGCACAAUGGGCGCAAGCCUGAUGCAGCCAUGCCGCGUGUGUGAAGAAGGCCUUCGGGUUGUAAAGCACUUUCAGUAAGGAGGAAAGGGUAGUCUUUAAUAGAGGCUAUCUGUGACGUUACUUACAGAAGAAGCACCGGCUAACUCCGUGCCAGCAGCCGCGGUAAUAC
RNAcentral lists this ribosomal RNA (448 nucleotides) under marine bacterium SIMO-2522. RNAcentral's name for it is "bacterial SSU rRNA". It matches the Rfam family "Bacterial small subunit ribosomal RNA", at positions 82 to 526 of the family's 1533-position model. The record is from RNAcentral.